GUGCGUCGCGCUACGGCACUGCAGGACGCGCGAGGUAGCCUGAUGAGUUGCUCUUCGAUUCAGCGGCGUGACGGGUGAGUAAUACCUAGGAAUCUGCCUGGUAGUGGGGGACAACGUUUCGAAAGGAACGCUAAUACCGCAUACGUCCUACGGGAGAAAGCAGGGGACCUUCGGGCCUUGCGCUAUCAGAUGAGCCUAGGUCGGAUUAGCUAGUUGGCGAGGUAAUGGCUCACCAAGGCUACGAUCCGUAACUGGUCUGAGAGGAUGAUCAGUCACACUGGAACUGAGACACGGUCCAGACUCCUACGGGAGGCAGCAGUGGGGAAUAUUGGUCAAUGGGCGAAAGCCUGAUCCGGCCUUGCCGCGUGUGUCAAGAAGUGCUCCGGAUUGUAAAGCACUUUAAGUUGCUAGGGAGACGAGCUGGCGAAUGCCUUGCUGUUUUGAUGUUACUGAUAGAGUAGGCACCGGCUAAUUCUUUGCCAGCUCAUUCGAUAAUACAGCCUGGUGCAAGCUCUACUCGGUAUUACUGAUCGUAACGCGCGCGCCGGCGGUUGGUGGGCUCCGAUGUGAUACCUCCGAGUUCAACCUUGCAGCUGCUUCUCACCCUGCGGAGCUAUAGUGCGUUAGAGUGCGCACUAAUAUCCUCGUGUAUUCCUAAAAUUAGUUGAUAUCGUAUGCAGCAUGGGAUGACGAGGUGUCUAACUCUGUUUAUCUCCGCCACUUAUCGCCGCAUAACGUGUCAGUAUGAGCCGAGUAGAUACCUCGUCAGUCGCGCGCUAUACGAUGAUCUACUAGCCUUUAGCGAUCCUUCAGAAUUUACGUGCAGCAGUCUGACCGCAACUCAUGUCUACCCCACGUGUGGAUUACAGGUCGCCAAGGUUGAGACUUGAGAUAUAUCCGAUCCGAGCUCAGCGAACACGCUUAGCAGCACGUGAUGUCACAUUCGAGUCACAGGUUAGACUGUACCAUGCUGACUCGACGUACCUGUUCGAAU
This 994-nucleotide ribosomal RNA is filed under the name Pseudomonas oryzihabitans. RNAcentral's name for it is "bacterial SSU rRNA". The stretch from base 3 to 509 matches the Rfam family "Bacterial small subunit ribosomal RNA", at positions 39 to 536 of the family's 1533-position model. The record is from RNAcentral. Lineage: Bacteria; Pseudomonadati; Pseudomonadota; Gammaproteobacteria; Pseudomonadales; Pseudomonadaceae.